GUAGGUGGCAAGCGUUGUCCGGGAAUUAUUGGGCGUAGAGCGCGCGCAGGUGGUUCUUUAAGUCUGAUGUGAAAGCCCCCGGGCUCAACCGGGGAGGGUCAUUGGAAACUGGGGAACUUGAGUGCAGGAGAGGAAAGUGGAAUUCCACGUGUAGCGGUGAAAUGCGUAGAUAUGUGGAGGAACACCAGUGGCGAAGGCGACUUUCUGGCCUGUAACUGACACUGAGGCGCGAAAGCGUGGGGAGCAAACAGGAUUAGAUACCCUGGUAGUCCACGCCGUAAACGAUGAGUGCUAAGUGUUGGGGGGUUUCCGCCCCUCAGUGCUGCAGCUAACGCAUUAAGCACUCCGCCUGGGGAGUACGGUCGCAAAGACUG
RNAcentral lists this ribosomal RNA (374 nucleotides) under uncultured organism. RNAcentral's name for it is "partial 16S ribosomal RNA". It matches the Rfam family "Bacterial small subunit ribosomal RNA", at positions 527 to 896 of the family's 1533-position model. The record is from RNAcentral.